AUGAACGCUAGCUACAGGCUUAACACAUGCAAGUCGAGGGGAAACGACAUCGAAAGCUUGCUUUUGAUGGGCGUCGACCGGCGCACGGGUGAGUAACGCGUAUCCAACCUGCCCAUCACUUGGGAAUAACCUUGCGAAAGUAAGACUAAUACCCAAUGACAUCCCACGAAGACAUCUGAAUGGGAUUAAAGAUUUAUCGGUGAUGGAUGGGGAUGCGUCUGAUUAGCUUGUUGGCGGGGUAACGGCCCACCAAGGCAACGAUCAGUAGGGGUUCUGAGAGGAAGGUCCCCCACAUUGGAACUGAGACACGGUCCAAACUCCUACGGGAGGCAGCAGUGAGGAAUAUUGGUCAAUGGGCGAGAGCCUGAACCAGCCAAGUAGCGUGCAGGAGGACGGCCCUAUGGGUUGUAAACUGCUUUUAUAAGGGAAUAAAGUGGGUCUCGUGAGACUUUUUGCAUGUACCUUAUGAAUAAGGACCGGCUAAUUCCGUG
Molecule: ribosomal RNA, 491 nt
Filed under: uncultured bacterium
Lineage: Bacteria
Description: partial 16S ribosomal RNA
Rfam family: Bacterial small subunit ribosomal RNA
Source: RNAcentral